RNAcentral lists this ribosomal RNA (187 nucleotides) under Olea europaea subsp. europaea. RNAcentral describes it as "SSU_rRNA_bacteria". It matches the Rfam family "Bacterial small subunit ribosomal RNA", at positions 875 to 1036 of the family's 1533-position model. The record is from RNAcentral. Lineage: Eukaryota; Viridiplantae; Streptophyta; Magnoliopsida; Lamiales; Oleaceae.
GGGGAGUACGUUUGCAAGAAUGAACCUCAAAGGAAUUGACGGGGGCCCGCACAAGCGGUGGAGCAUGUGGUUUAAUUCGAUGCAAAGCGAAGAACCUUACCAGAUCAUCGAAGAUAGUUUUCUUACUUUCUCUGGAGUUGCUAAUAACUAACAAUUUUGAAUAUAAUACAAUACUCCACAAUAUUCA